RNAcentral lists this ribosomal RNA (205 nucleotides) under uncultured bacterium. Its description in RNAcentral is "partial 16S ribosomal RNA". It matches the Rfam family "Bacterial small subunit ribosomal RNA", at positions 568 to 774 of the family's 1533-position model. The record is from RNAcentral.
CGCGCAGGCGGGCUGGUCAGUCUGGGGUGAAAUCUCACGGCUCAACCGUGAGAGGUCCCUGGAUACUGCUAGCCUUGAGGGGCUCAGAGGAGAGUGGAAUUCCGGGUGUAGUGGUGGAAUGCGUAGAUAUCCGGAGGAACACCAGUGGCGAAAGCGGCUCUCUGGGGGCAACCUGACGCUGAGGCGCGAAGCGUGGGAGCGAACC